RNAcentral lists this ribosomal RNA (1215 nucleotides) under Enterobacter cloacae. Its description in RNAcentral is "bacterial SSU rRNA". It matches the Rfam family "Bacterial small subunit ribosomal RNA", at positions 144 to 1358 of the family's 1533-position model. The record is from RNAcentral. Lineage: Bacteria; Pseudomonadati; Pseudomonadota; Gammaproteobacteria; Enterobacterales; Enterobacteriaceae.
UAACUACUGGAAACGGUAGCUAAUACCGCAUAACGUCGCAAGACCAAAGAGGGGGACCUUCGGGCCUCUUGCCAUCAGAUGUGCCCAGAUGGGAUUAGCUAGUAGGUGGGGUAACGGCUCACCUAGGCGACGAUCCCUAGCUGGUCUGAGAGGAUGACCAGCCACACUGGAACUGAGACACGGUCCAGACUCCUACGGGAGGCAGCAGUGGGGAAUAUUGCACAAUGGGCGCAAGCCUGAUGCAGCCAUGCCGCGUGUAUGAAGAAGGCCUUCGGGUUGUAAAGUACUUUCAGCGGGGAGGAAGGUGUUGGGUUAAUAACCGCAGCAAUUGACGUUACCCGCAGAAGAAGCACCGGCUAACUCCGUGCCAGCAGCCGCGGUAAUACGGAGGGUGCAAGCGUUAAUCGGAAUUACUGGGCGUAAAGCGCACGCAGGCGGUCUGUCAAGUCGGAUGUGAAAUCCCCGGGCUCAACCUGGGAACUGCAUUCGAAACUGGCAGGCUAGAGUCUUGUAGAGGGGGGUAGAAUUCCAGGUGUAGCGGUGAAAUGCGUAGAGAUCUGGAGGAAUACCGGUGGCGAAGGCGGCCCCCUGGACAAAGACUGACGCUCAGGUGCGAAAGCGUGGGGAGCAAACAGGAGARAUACCCKGGUAGUCCACGCCGUAAACGAUGUCGACUUGAGGUUGUGCCCUUGAGGCGUGGCUUCCGGAGCUAACGCGUUAAGUCGACCGCCUGGGGAGUACGGCCGCAAGGUUAAAACUCAAAUGAAUUGACGGGGGCCCGCACAAGCGGUGGAGCAUGUGGUUUAAUUCGAUGCAACGCGAAGAACCUUACCUACUCUUGACAUCCAGAGAACUUUCCAGAGAUGGAUUGGUGCCUUCGGGAACUCUGAGACAGGUGCUGCAUGGCUGUCGUCAGCUCGUGUUGUGAAAUGUUGGGUUAAGUCCCGCAACGAGCGCAACCCUUAUCCUUUGUUGCCAGCGGUCCGGCCGGGAACUCAAAGGAGACUGCCAGUGAUAAACUGGAGGAAGGUGGGGAUGACGUCAAGUCAUCAUGGCCCUUACGAGUAGGGCUACACACGUGCUACAAUGGCGCAUACAAAGAGAAGCGAACUCGCGAGAGCAAGCGGACCUCAUAAAGUGCGUCGUAGUCCGGAUUGGAGUCUGCAACUCGACUCCAUGAAGUCGGAAUCGCUAGUAAUCGUAGAUCAGAAUGCU